GAUCAUGGCUCAGGAUGAACGCUAGCUACAGGCUUAACACAUGCAAGUCGAGGGGCAGCAUGGUCUUAGCUUGCUAAGGCCGAUGGCGACCGGCGCACGGGUGAGUAACGCGUAUCCAACCUGCCCAUCACUUGGGAAUAACCUUGCGAAAGUAAGACUAAUGCCCAAUGACAUCCCACGAAGGCAUCCGAAUGGGAUUAAAGAUUUAUCGGUGAUGGAUGGGGAUGCGU
This 230-nucleotide ribosomal RNA is filed under the name uncultured bacterium. RNAcentral describes it as "partial 16S ribosomal RNA". It matches the Rfam family "Bacterial small subunit ribosomal RNA", at positions 15 to 236 of the family's 1533-position model. The record is from RNAcentral.